Molecule: long non-coding RNA, 19602 nt
Filed under: Vitis vinifera (wine grape)
Lineage: Eukaryota; Viridiplantae; Streptophyta; Magnoliopsida; Vitales; Vitaceae
Description: long non-coding RNA (VVIN_LNC001785)
Rfam family: Small nucleolar RNA snoR100 (bases 137-249)
Source: RNAcentral
GGGGUAUUCUUGUUCAAUAGAUGUUUUGAUUUUGUGCUUCGAUUCUUUUUCUCAACCGAUUCUUUUGUUUGUUUGUUGUCAAAUCUUGUGAGGAUGGUGAUCUGUGUACAAUAAGCCGAUGCUCUGGAUGUAGAAAUAAUGAAGGAAGCAUGGUAAUGUGCACAGAGAUUGAAUUCUAAGGUCAUCAUGUCUGCUCUCUCUGAUGCCUUUCGGGGCUUUGAUUUGGGGGCCUGGAUCAGACCUACAUUUUUUUUUUUCUUUUCCUCAUCUUCGAAACACAUAAUUUUUUAGAUUCAAAUGAUACUGUUAUUUUUAUUUCGGAUGAGAUUUAUUUUUUUGUUUUUUUUGUUUUUGAAAAUGGGAAGACAAUGUAAUAUUUUGUUUUUGUUUUCAGAUUACUAAGUCUAAUCUGAAUUUGAAAAAAUCAACCCUAACACCAACCCAAUCCCACCUCUAACUAAAAAUCAACCCUACUCUAACCUAAUCCCAUCCCACCUCAAGAGUACCCGAUCUCAAUCCAACCUAACCUAACUUUACACUUAGGUUGAGUUGAUCGGAGGAGUGUACGAAUCAAAAUCUAUGCAUUUUUCUAUACGAUAUAAUUGUAAUUUGAUAUUAUAGUUAAAAUAAAAUAAAUAUUAUUAUCCAUGAUAAUACAAAUUAUAAAUAUGAUAAAGAUGUUAAAUCUGAUAGGUAGGGUCAGGUUAUUCACCUUUGUUUUUUAACUUAGAAUAUUAAUAUUUAAUAGUGUUAGAUAUUAGGUUGUUUUUUUUUUUUACUAUUUUAUUUUUAUUAAUUAUUAAAAAUAAAAAAAAUUAAUAUGUUAUUUUUUUAUUUUAAAAAAAAUCACAUAUUCUGAAAUUUUCUAUUUAAUAAAUAAUUUAUAAUAAGUAAUGAAAAACUGAAAAAAAAAUAAUUUAAAUUUUAAAAAUAAAUUAUUUUGAGCAAAAGUCAAAAAAACAAAUGUCACUUAAAUCUCAAAUUAAGUUUAAAUUAAAAAAAAACUUCAUUUUAAGUCAAAUUAAAUAUUAAAAAUGGUCAAUAAUUGAAUUAGACAAACCCAUCAAAUUACAACCUUAAAUAGAAUAUGGGAGUAUUUGGGUAUUGGUAUGACCCAGAUGUGUUUGAAUUUAUUUUAAUAUACAAGGCAUUUGGAAUAUGAUGCAUCAAUAUUAAUUUAACCUCUUUUUCUCAAUGAAAUAUUGGGGCUUUUUUGUGAGCAUGAAAUGCAGUGAAUGUGUACAAAAUUAUGUGUCAAGGUCAAUUUUAUUAUUUUUGUUGAAUAUAUGUUCCAAAACAUAAAAAUCAUGAUAAUUGAAAGGGAGGAAAUUCUUUUGAAAAUGUAGGGAGAAAGUAGUAUAUGUUUCCUCAAUUCUCUCUUUCAUUGAUUCCUUCUCCAUUUCUACCCCAUUUUCACAUAAGCUAUUAGUAUGCAUUUUCAAGGAGAGUUGUGGAAUGUCUUCUUGAACAUUUUUGCCAAUUUGUUACAAAAAGGGAGAAAAAUCAUAUUAAUUAUUGAAGGAAGGAGGUGGUUGCUAGUUUAUUUUGAUUUAUUUUGGUGCUUCUAUUUUGAUGAAUGCAUAGUCUUGAUGAAGAUUCAUGGCUUCAUCAAAAGUGAAAAUAUCUCGGGAAGGCCUUUAGGUGGGACGAUAUCUCAUUAAUCAAGUCAUAUCAUACAUUCCUUCAUAUAAUAUACUUUUGUGUAUGCAAUAUAUUACUAUUAUGGUCAUCUUAAUUGUCUCACAUGUUAUAUGGGUUGUUCAACAAUAACCAAAUUUGAUACAUGUUAUGUCUACAUGAUUUGAUCAUGUGCCCACGUGACUUGUUAUCUAAUUAAUAGUAAAGAAAAGCCUUUGGAAGGCCCUUAGGUGUAACCAUAGCUCAUUAAUCAAGCCACACCAUAUAUUUCUUCUUCUAAUGUGCUUUUAUGCAUGCAAUAUCUUACUAAUCCAACCAUCUUGGCUAUCAAAGUCUACCACAUUAUUUUCGCUCUCUAAUAGUGAUAAACUUGAUGCAUGCCUCCUCUACAUAAUUCCAUCUUGUGCUCACUUGACUUUAUCCAAUUGAAAGUCAAACAAGCCUUUGGAUGGUCCUUAGGUGUGAUAAUAUCUUUUUAAAAGUCAUACCAUAUAAUUUUCCUUCUAAUAUGCUUACUUUUGUUUAUGCAAUAUAUGGUUAAUCAUGUCAUGUUGGUUAUCUACUCCGUCAUCUUUGUUGUCUUAGUCUAGCACUAACCUAACCUUGAUACAUACGACAUUGCGUGCUCAUAUAACUUGUUGCAUAAUCAAAAGUCAAACAAAUCUUAGAAAAGUUAUUAAAUGUGAUAUAUAUCCAAUUUCUAAUGCACUUGCGUAUGUAACAAUAUUUUGUCAAUUAAGAGCAUGUUUGGGAAUGAUUUUGAUUAAAACACUUUUAUCUUGAAGCAUUUUUGUUGGUAGUGCUUCAAUUGAAAACUUUUUUUUUAAAGAAAAUCACUUGUGUUGGAUAUAAGCAAAAAUAAAAAUAAAAUGUUUUAAUAGCAUUUUUUUAUAUAAAAUAUAGUAUAAUAAAAGGUGAUUUUUUAAAGAAUCAUUGGAGUGAUGGUGUAAAAAUCACUUUAAAUGAUUUUCUAGAUUUUUAAAAGUGAUUUAAAAAAAAUUGACUAUCACCUAAUUUCUACAAGAAAACACUUUUAUUCCUUUUCAAAAUUAUUCCCAAAAGAGUUAUAAGUCAUUUUGGUUUGAUACAUCAUAUUAGUUUUUAUGGCAUGAUAUACCCGUACAACUUGUCAUCAAACAAUAAUUAAACAAGCCUUGGGAAGGUCCUUAGUGUGAAAAUCAAACUUGAUGUAUGUGAUGCCCAUGUAACUUGUUACCCGAUCAAGAACCAAAUAAGCCCUAAAUGUUAAAUACACGAAGGUGAUAAAAUUCAUCCAUUAAUAAUUGAAUUUUUAUUCAUCAGCUUGGUGGAUAUAGAGAGGAAUCAAUGGAAGAGGAUGAUUUGCCCUUCUCUCAAUUAGGAGGAGCUAUUUGUAGGUUCCUUGAUCAUGAAACUUUCAAGAAAUUACUUUUUUUCUUUCUUUCUUUUGUAGUCUUUGGUGCAAAGUAAAAAUUGAAUUGCAUAGAGCAAAAAUUUAAUGAUAUAUGACUAAUUAUUUUCUUACUUGUAAGAGCCUUUUUUUAUUCUAUGCAAAUCUUCUCAGGUAUAGGAAACCUCGAGGUAUUUACAGGUGGUCGAAUUUAGAGGCACUUAAUUUUUAUUGAGGUGAAUCAAACUUUUGGCCUGUUCACGGGGAUACUUUAUUUUGAAAAUUACUAGGAAAAGCUUAAAAGCUUUAUAGUUUAUCCAGGCUUCUAAAUACUAGUAUGAAAGCCUACCGGAUUUCAUUUUGGCACGGACCAAAGAUUCUAACUCCAAUCGGUUGCCGCCUGUGUGCACUUGGCUGUGCUGCAGUGCGCACCACGUCGCUCCCCUCCCUGCCUAAGACUAUGCGAUGCCGCGUAGAUGACCGGCGCCACAGUCAUCUUGCGUGCUGACCGAGUGACCGUUGGUGCAUUUGCUGCCCAUCUAGCCCACGCUACACCAACCCCUGUUCUGUGGGCUAUCAAUGCUUUCAAAUGAGUGUGCCAACAUCGGAAACGAAUGCCAUCGUACCAUGGUCACACGUCUAAGGUUGCAAACCUUGAAAGAGCUAUUCCCUCCAAGUGUUUGAUAAAAUGCCUCAUCGACUCCAAUGAUAAAAGCAUACCUACCGGCUACCGCCAUGCCCUAACCUUUUGCGGGACAUGGUAUGAAUCUUGCCACGUAGCUGCGGCAAAAGAUACUAGUAACCCACAAGGUCAGGGUACCAAUUGAAGAAACAUUUUGGACAUGGAAAGAUGUGGCAACAUGAAAAAGUGGGAAAGUAAGAAGGAAUAACAUGAAAUUAUUGCAAAUUCAUAGAUUUACUUACAGUCACAAACCACAUGAAGCAUAAUAGUUUCCCAUCUUCAUCUUUAAAAACCUCAAAAGUGACAGGACAAAAAAAAAAAAAAAAGGGUGGGCGGGGGGUGAAAGGAAGAUAUUGAGUGGAGAGUGGGAAAUUCAAGCUUCUAUUGGCCUUGCCACAAUGGUGGAAUGCUUCAAGAUGUGCAAACUGAACUGCCCACCCUUUCCUGUGGUGUCAAGUUUGGCCUGUCCAGGAGGAGGGAGGAGCUCAAAAUUCUGAACCAGACGUCCAAUUGUGAUACCAAGAAUUGGCAGAGCAAGAAUGAUUCCAGGGCAGCUUCUUCUUCCAACACCGAACGGGAGGUACCUGAAGUCAUUGCCAUUGGCCUCAACCUUGGACUCCUCCUCCAGGAAUCUCUCUGGCCUGAACUCUUCUGGUUUUUUCCACUUGGAAGAGUCGUUAGCAAGCCACCAUGCGUUCACCAGGAUUUUGCUCUCAGCAGGAAUGUCAUAGCCACCGAGCUUUGCAUCAUUCAGAUUCAUGUGGGGGACCAGGAGAGGAAUUGCCAUCCUUAGCCGGAGAGUUUCUUUGAUUACAGCCUGAAGAUAUGGAAGCUUUUGGAUAUCAGGCUCGGUGACUUGGACGCCAGGUCCAAGCACAGUGUUCAGCUCAUCCCUGAGCUUCUUCUGGAUGUGAGGGUGGUUCACCAGCUCUGCAAUGCCCCACUCGAUUGACCACAACGUUGUUUCAAUAGCUGCAUACACAAAUUUUUCACAUUAACAUGGUUCCAGUCCCAACCCAUUUCUUAAAAUGUUAGGAAAGAAUCAUUUAAAAGGUAAACUCGGGUUGUUAGCCUGACAUGCAGUAUUGAUCCACAACCCAAUAAUCUAAAUCUUUACAGUUUAUUUGACUAUUUGACUUUAUGUCAUGGUCUGAGGUCGCCUAUGGAGGAAGUGUACAUUAUUCCCAGCAGCUUAACAAAAGAUGGGUCAACCCUUUUGUUUUAGAUCUCUAAUUGGGAACUUAAACAUAUGGUCUAGUUGAUGUUUCAUACCAUAUAAAAAAGAUAAUUGGAAAGGAGAUUUUUCUAUGGUAGAAAUGGCUUAAAAAGGGGUAGUUAAGUAGUUCAACGUCGGUAAAGAUAUGGUCAUGGUGCCAUGGGACAAAAUGGGAAGUCCAGAAAAACAAUAGGCCUCAUCUCAGUUUUUAUCGUUCUAUUCAUACUUUGAAAAGACACCAUCUGACAGCCAACCAAAGAACCAACCAUAAAGAGAUGUGGCAGUUCAUGAUCUCUCAAUCAUGCCAACCGAUGCUUAAAAGUUGACUAGUACCCAUUACAAAAGAACUCAUUUUAGAAACUCUUGAAGGGUUAAGAUAGAAAAAGUCAAGGUUUAGAAGUUUUCCAAGCCACAAGGGAGACAAAAUCAAGGUUCUCUCUCCUGUUUACUUUUAGUUAUCCUAAUGUGAGAAAGGGUACAACUUGGGCAACCAUACAAACAAGCAAUCAUAACACCAAAGCACAAACAGAGGCGCUCCGAUUGGGCUGUGGUAGGUGAGCUUGAAAGCUAAAGUAAACCCAACUCAACCCAAGCUUUUAACACCUAACCCACUUUUCUAAAUCAACCACAUGAGUUGAAUUGGGACAAACUAACAAUGAUGUCACGUGCACCCUAUCUCUCACUUGACAUUCAUCCCUUGGUGGUCUCCCUCAAAGCUUAUCUCUCUCCAUUAAUUUUUUUUGGUUUUUCAGAGGCUAGUAUAAGCUAUAGCUUAUCUUGCGCCAAUUGGACAGCGACUCCCAAUCUAUCCAUGGAGCCCAGUCCUGACCUUGUCCAAUAUAUAAAAUUGAAAAAUCAACUCCAAUCCACGGUGCAAAGUUGAAGUAAUCCUAAAAAGGAAUCUAACUACUCCCAUGGGAUCUCAUAUAAUUACUUACUCCCAUUGAGGCACGUAGCGCCCUUAUAUUCCAUGGGAUUGUCGGGUAAUGACCCUCUUACACCUCUUACUCCCGUGAGUCAAAGAUGGGCUCCAGGGUUUGUUUUUCUAUUUUUUUAUUAUUUAUUGUAAAUCUUUUAUUAAAUAAAAAAAAUCAAAAUAUAUAAUUUUUUUUUAAUAAAAAAAAUUAUAUAUUAGUUUUUUUAUUUUUUAAUACUUAAUAAAAAUAAAAUACUAUAAAAACAACCUAAUAUUUAAAUAUUAAAUUGAGUAAAAAAACAAUGAUCAUUUUCCAUGAUUGAAAAAGAGACUAAACGAUUUCUGACGCGAAGAACACAGACAAAUUUAUAGGAGACAAGUUAAGGGGGAAAGGGGAUAUACCAGCAACAUUGAUGUUCUCCACAAUGUAAAGGACGUUGUCCUCGUUGAUCUCACCCUUCUGCUGAGCAUCCAAAAUAUGAUCAACGGCGCAUUUCAGACUGUUGUGAUCUGUGCUCUUUGUGCUUGCCAGCUUCCUGCAGACCAUCACAGUUUCCAUUUUAGAUUUUCUUUUCUUGAUUUGUACGAAUAGUGAAGGUUGACCAUGUAAUUCACUUUCUACGUUGUAAGUGGAAAAUUUAUGGAUUUGGCUAAUUUUAACCCUAAAUCAGGUUCAAAAGAGGGAAAAAAAUCGAAUUUAUGAAUGGAGAAUCCUGAAAAAAUGGAAUAGAAAACUUACUUCCUCUCCUCAAGAAAAUGGUCCUUGAAGAGCUGCAACCUUCUCUCCUUAACUUCCUUGCAGAUUUUCAGGUAGCCUCUCAAAAAUGGUCUCAAAAUGGGAAUGAAGUCUCCAUAAUUGUACUCGAAGCUCUGAGCCAGUCUACUCCUCUCUCCGUUCAAGGCUUUGAGCUUCACGAACAACGGAUCCUCCUCACUAUCGAAUCUUCUAUCGAACAUGAUUCUAUACAUGUUGUUGUACAUCAUGAGCUGCAACCGUCUCCUCAGCACGAUUCCGUUGGUGGAGGCCUCGGGAUUCUUCUUCACGUCCUCAACCACACGCGCCGCCUCGUCCUCCCAUCCGACGCGGUACUGCUGAACUACCUUGUUGGUGAAGAAAGGGACGGUCAUGAUCCGCCGCAUCUUCCGCCAAUGCUCACCGUACACCGUGAACACCAUGUCCUGGCCCUUACCUGUGAAUAUGUCGAACACCACGUUUCUUGUGCGUGAUCCGAACUCCACUCCCUGAGUGUGCAAAACGUCCUUCGCCAGGUCCGGCGACGACACCACCACCAGGUUCCGCUGCCCCAUUCGCAGCAUGAAAAUGUCCCCGAAUUUCUUCGCUAAGUCGGAGAGGUUCAGGUGGUUCAAGUCAUCCCCAACCUGCAGCCAGUUCCCGAAAACCGGCACCGGCAGAGGACCUGGAGGCAGCUUUAAUUUCUUCCCCAGAAGCUUAGAGAUGGUGAUGGCCAGAAUUAUAGCGCAGAACACCGCUAACAGAGCUUUCUCUAUGAGUAUGAGAUCCAUGGUUGUGGCGGUGGAUGGUGCCUGAGGGCUGGUGGGUGGCGGAUGGUGGAUAUGGUUGAUGGUGGGUGUAGUGAUGGGCUUAUAUAGGGAAAUGAGUGAAGCAAUAGCGCCGGCUCGGGCUGACGGGAAUCGUUAGGUGGGAGUAGGCGAGUGCGAGGGAGUGGGUGAGAGUCCUAUAUUGACGGCGUGAAAUGUGACGGCGCUUUUGAGGGGUAGGUCCGCCAGAUUCAGGGUGACGAGUUUGAAGGGAGUAGGUAAGGGGGUGGGUGGAGCGAAAGCGUCAAAUUGAUGGACCUUUCAAAGUGAAGGAGCUCCUAUCCUCUGCGUACCCCCACCACACUCCAACUAUCCUUCUAAUCCAAUGGCUCUCAUUUUAUUUUUUCACGUGACCAACCUACUCAUAUGUUCUAGCACUACACAUUAUAAUAAUUUUGUUUAAAUAGUUUUCGUGCACAAGGAGUUUUAAAAUCUCAUCCAAUUACUGCUUGCGCCAGUUAGUAAUAGUGGGUCCUAUAACAUUAUGUGGCAGUGACUGGUGAAUUGCGGGGAAUUUGGUUUUGAGGCUGAGGAGGAUUUGCCACGGUUUCCUUAUUCGUUGCAUCAUGGAUUUCCUACCAUUAAUACUUGUGACAUUCAAUAUUUUCCAUUCUUCAAAUUAUUUAGAAUAAUAAUUGGAUAAUUCCUUUUAAUCUAUUCCACCUGAAAUUAAGAUAAAUAUAAAAAUUUUGAGAUUCAACUCACUUGUUAAACUCAAGUCCUAAAUCUAAAUCAAUUCAAUUUUAAGAUCCCACUCUUCUACUAUAUUUGAUUUCUAAAAAAUCAAUGAAAAUAAAAAAUAAAUUUAAAAUUAAUAAAUUAUUUAAAAUUAUAUUUCCACUACAUAUAUCAAUAAAUUUGUAAUUCUCAAAUCCUUUUCAUAAAUAUUUCUAUUUUUAAUUUUUUGAUAAUCAAGGUAAAUUCUUGAACAAAAUUGCUAGAUAAUUAAUUAUUUAAUAUUCAAUCAAUUGAAAAUUUUAACUAGGUUCGGACAAUAAUCUAACUCUGACUCACUCUCUUUUUUUUGCCCCUUUUUUUGGCUUUUACAUUAAAUCUAAGUGGUUGCCUUCCCAUGGCACUAAACAUUGUUGUGUAAAUUAAGCCAAUUUGAUAGGAAUAAAGUCAGCCAAAUGCCAUCAGAAAUGCCUCUGAUGGGCCUAAAAUUGGCCAAUUACAAUUACAAUUACUCGAACAAACAAGGCUUACUCAUGCACGAAAUCAAUAGCAUCUUUGCCAGGCCCGAAACUUUGAAAAUUCAAAGCAAAUGUAAUAUUUUUAAGUUUAUGUCGGACAAUGACACUUUUGAUCUUUUUCCCUUUUCAACCUUUACACUCCAUAAAUUUGAUAUUCAAAAAGCUUUAAUUUUUAAACGAACGGCAUGGACUACAUCAACUCCUCUUUUUUUUAUUAUUAUUAUAAAACUUUAAAAAAGAUGGAGAUUUUGUUGGAGAAGUACAAAUAAGAGAAAACCUCCAAAAGUCAACUACAGGCGCCCUCUUUGGCUGCCUGGUUUGAGUCAUGGGUCAGUUUUGGGAACUACCUUAUAGGUACCGCGUGCCAUCUGCCGGCAAAUCUCAUCCUCCGCUCAUUUCUUACCUUAUAAUCCUGCAACCAUCUCCUUUAUUAAACUAUAUAUUCUAUCGCUUUCAUGGUUCCGUAAAUCAAAUAAAAAAAACGCGAAAAUAUUAUAGUUUUUUCCGCUGCCCUAUUCUUUCCCUACGUCAUGGCUUUUACUAUAUUAAAGUAUUGGAAAUGAGCAAAUGAGUAUUGUUAUCGUGGCACCUAUCAAUACUCUUUUGGUAACGUAUCCCCAUUAAAUCUAGUUUUGACAUCACGUUGAAAAAUCAAAAUUUUAAAAUCAGUGAUCUUUUGGUAACGUAUCCCAUUAAAUCUAGUUUUGAUGUCUUGUUGAAAAAUCAAUUUUUAAAAAAAGUUAAAUUUAUGAUAUAUUAUUUUGAAUUUAACUAGAAAAAGGCUCGUAAUAAAAUUUGAUCAUCCCCUAAUGCGGGCAUUUACUAAUCUCAAGGUUUAGAGCGAUAAAACCUAACCAUCACACAUAAUACUUAUUUGUUAAUAUGUCAAUUUUUAUAUUUACACUUACAUUCAAGAAUUUAUAUUUUAUUUUAUAUGCAAGUGACGACAUUGUUGAAAGAAAUAUGUGAUCAAACCAAUACAAUAUACCUUUCCUCAAAAUUGGAGGCUAGGUAGCCAAAUGAAUGUGGAUUAUAAAAAGGAAAGAGAGGGCAAAGCAGAUGGGAAGAGAAUGGAAGGAGACCACUUCUAAGGCCUACCUACUACCGUGGAUAGAGACGUAAUCAAAUAUCAUACCUAACCCCCAACAAAGAGACCACGAGCAGUGCCUCAAGCUACCUCCACCACCGCCCCCCAUUUUUAGUGAUCAAAUUUAGCCACGUCAUCUUUAUGUCAAUAAUCCUAUUUUCCUACGUCAUCUAUCGUUCCACAGUGGCAUGGUUUCCUCUUCCGUGGGCUAUCAAACUUGGACCGUCCACCUUGGCUGCAGCAUUAUUUGUUUUUCUCAUUUAUUGCACAAUUUAAAACCUUAUCUGGGUUUGGCGGGUUCUGCAAAUUGCAAUUACUAGCCUCCAGUGAGAGUCUUCCAAGUUAGAACCAAUGAGAAUUGGCCAAUGCCAUAUGAGUUUUCUUUUAUAUUUAUUAUAUAUUGUAUAAACAUUAUUAAAGUAAUUUAUGAUUAUUAAAUUAUGAUGAAAUUAAUUUUUAAACAUAUUUAUUAUAUUUUAGGUUAAAAAAUUUAGAUAUAAUAUGAAUUUCAAAUCCAAAGUGAUUUUAAUUAACGUACAUGUUAAUUUCCAUUCAAUUUUUUUAUUAUCUAAAUUAAAUCAAAUCAAUUUUAAAUAAACUUGAUUUGGUUUUAUGUUUCCAUUAUUAAAAGGUUGGUUCGAUUUUGAUUCAAAUAAAAAUCGACUAUGCCCCGAUUUGAUUAAUUUUUCUUUAAUAAAAAUUAAAAGAUAUCAUACUUUAAUCAAUCUUGCAAAAAUAAUUAUAAUGGUAAGGUGGAAUUUUGCAAGUCUCCAUCAAGAUUGUGAAAAAUGAUUUAUUUUUGGUACCUUUCGACCAAUAAUACUACUAACUCCCUUCCAUCUAUAAUAAUGAAUAUUUGUCUCCCUAGGCGAUCUCUAAUAAUCAAUGUGGCGUCUUCUCUAGGUGAGUCCCCAUCAGCACAUACGCUCCACAUAUUUUUUUUUUUUGUGGGACAAUAAAGAAAAACAUUUUCCCAUGACUAAUGACUCGAUAUAAAGAGCAACUCUUUUAUAUCCUUUUGAGCCGAUGGAAACUUUGAUUAUAUCCCAAAAAAAGUCCUCCUCCCUUUUUCUAUGAUCAGGAUCAUUAAUAACGUUAAUGGUAUCGCUAGAGGUAGUGGGAUUGUAACUUCUUUUUGUAAUGAUCGGAUCAUAUUAUGUUUUUGAGCGGUAUGGAAACUAUAAGUAGUAGGACUAUAACUUAGUUGAUUUUAUGUAAUCAACUCCAUAUUUAGAUUGAUAUGGGUAAAAAUUGAAUGGGUUAGGUAGGGGCUUAAAGCUUUUAAAAAUCAAUGAGCAUAUAUUGAGGAGAGCAUUUUAUAACCUUGGUUUUGUCGGAGAUUACGAAAUCGAGGUUUGGUUCAUUUCAAUUUUAAUAAGAACAAAACAAGGUUUAAAAUUAAUAUUUUCUUUUUAAGUAUGUUUUAGCUAAUAAGAUUUUUGAAGUGGCAAUUAUAAGGACAAAUCAAAUUUAAAAAAAAUAUAUAAAAGACGAGUUUUCAAGACUUUGUCUAUAAUAUUUUGUAAGGUUGAUAGUAUACUAGGAUUAUGCAUUAUAUCUUUAAGCACAAAAAAUCAUCAAAGUAUUAAUUUGUUUUAAAUUAUUUUAUAAUAGGAUGAUCUCAUAUUUCAAUUAAAACUACGUGUUAAAUGUUUUUUAAAUUUGCUUUAAAAGGUUUUACAAAAUAAAAUACAAGUUACUAAAUGAUUCAAACCUCAAAUUAGGGCAUUUUAUGCACUUUAUAGUACAAGGCAGAGAGGAAUUGGUUGAGCCAAUUGACUCAACAUGUUGAAGUACACUUGUACACUUUUUCUUCCAAUAAUAUGUACUCAAUUAAUUGAGGUUAAGCCUCAAUAGGACUAGUUAAGAUCUUAUUGAAGCCCCAAAACCCAACUAUCACAUAUCAUAAGUAUUAAUUGCUAACAACUAAUGAAUUUCAAUUAAAUUGAUGUGUGGACCCCGCAUUUCGAUUGCGCUAUGCGUUUCCCACUCGAUGGCGAGCUCGAAUUUUAAUUUGAAAAAUUGAUUUAUAUUGAUUAUGAAAAUGACUUGGAGUCGCCACUUAUUUUUGUUUUAUUUUUAAAGGGUAAACAAAAUAAGAAAGAAAAACCCUAAGUGUGACUCCUUAUUUUGGAAAAGGUGGUCUGUGAAAAACCAGAUCGGGUUCGGGGGUCAGGUUACUUAUCAGGAAGGUACGGUAAAAACCGUAGCACCCUUCUAAGUCCCUAAAAAUGGGUCUCUACUAAUAAAAUGAAGCAAUCAUGGCAAUUGAUGAGGAAAUCAAUGAAUACUCAGAGUGAUCAUGCACACGUGAGAAUUUAAACAUGCAUAUCGAAAAUGACUAGAGCGGAUGUAGAUGCGUACCUGGGCAGUGAUCCAUGAAGCGCUAUCAAGAAGUGACGUUAGUGCACAAUUAAGAAAUAAUAGCAUGCACGUCGUAGAGCAGAAUAAAUAAAUAGCGCGUGACAAACAAAUCAAUCAAUCAUAAAAUCACGUAUGUGGGGCCCCCACCAAAGCCCGAUUGAUCUUGCACGAAUUAAUCUCACAAAUUCCAUUGUUCUGAAAUUAUGAAAAUGACAUUCACGCUUAUAUAAAAUUAAGAGAAAAAGAAGAUUAUUUGAAAACCAAAGUGGAAUUAAAACUAUUUGAGAGAAAAUUAGAUUUUUGAAAUUUAAUUGAAAAAUUGGAAUCUCGAAGAUCACUAGAAAAUUGGAGUUUUAGAGUUUAUUUGGAAAUUAGAUUUUUAGUGAUUGAAUGUGAGAAUGAGAAUUUUUAGAAAAUGAAUUUGAAAGAGGUUAGAAUUUCAGAGAACUAAAUUUGGGAAUUGGAAUUUUGAAGAAUUAUUUAAAGAUGGAAUGUCGGAAAAUUAAAUUUCGAAAAGUGGAAACCCGAAAAAUUAUUUUAAGGAUGGAACGCCGGAAAAUUAAAUUUCGAAAAGUGAAAACCCGAAAAAUUAUUUUAAGGAUGAAAUAUCGGAAAAUUAAAUUUCGAAAAGUGGAAACCCGAAAAAUUAUUUUAAGGAUGGAACGCCGGAAAAUUAAAUUUCGAAAAGUGAAAACCCGAAAAAUUAUUUUAAGGAUGGAAUAUCGGAAAAUUAAAUUUCGAAAACCCGGAAUAUUUAGAGAAUUACUUUGAUAUCCAAAACGUGAAGAAAUAAUAAAAGAAAUGUGAAUUGUGGUCAUCUUUAAGUGCACGUCUCCAGUGUAAUGCCCAUAAACCCAUUUUACAUAUUUUAUUUUAUUUUUUACCACCUGAGCAAACAACUUUUGCAUGAAGAUUGAUGAGUGGGUAUUGAAGAAUGAUGACAUGGGCAAGGUAAUGGAAUCAGCCACUAGCAGGAAAUAAAUAAAAAAUGAAAAUCCUACAGACCCAUUUAAUUCGACAUCAAACCAGAAAGCAAAACCAUGCAUUAAACCCUACUCACCACCUGCAUCCUCCUCCUUGGAUCCUUUUAAUCGCCUUUUCAUCCACAAGGAUAGAACCAAACCAGUCUCAUUCUCAUUGAGGUCCAAAACAGAGCAUCCAUGAACACAGUCCGGUUAACAAACUCCUGCUUCAUUUGAACCAAUGCAUGGCUCCAGCUAUUUUAUCAAUUACAAGAAGCCAAACUCCAUUUCUGGGACCUUCACUCGUAGAAGGAAACCUCAAGUGUGGGAGCCAAAAACAGAGAUUCGGAUGGAAACACCCACACACAUAAUAGGGAAAAGGAAGCAGAGAAUACAAUGGAAUGAAGCUUUAAAAAAGGAUAAACAAAGACCAAACACCCAACAAAUAUGAAGAAACCUAUUUCAUUUUUCUUUAUCCGUGGGUUUGAAGGUCGAUGGAUUAAACUAAGAAGACAUCUUAAGAGACAAAAUAAAUCCAAGAUACAAGAAAGUUUUCAAAUAUCUAACAACCAAACCAAGCACAGUCAGGUUAUCCUUGAAUGAAACCAGAGAAAUAGAGAAUGGAACCACAAUAACCAAAUCAAAACAACCUCACAAACAAUGCAAGAUGAUCACAUGAACCAGAAAAUAGAGAAGCCUGAUGAUUAUUAAUAGCCUAUGAACCCAAAGAAUCUUACCUAGUCGUGCUCCCCUCAAGUAGAAAUUUGAUUGGCUUCAAACCAACCUUCUCUGCUCAGUUCUGGCUCCCUAAAAAAUCCCUCCAAACGGCAGCCAAUAGCACCACUCCCUCCCACAGUUUGCUGCUCUUAGCUCUACAAAUACUCUCUCUCUCUAAUGAAAACCCCCCUCCCAAUCUCUCCUACUCUCUGCUUUUUUCUUUUUUUUUUUCUAGCCGUCGCCUACCUUCUCGGGCAAGCCAUUACCUGCUUCCCUGUUCAUCUCUCAGCCGGUAUGGGCUCCUCCAACUCCAGCAUGGCCUCUGCCACGUCUCUUUCUCCCCUCCCAUCUGGUGGUCCCCCCUUUGUUUAAAAGAGAAAUACCCAGAAGAGAGAAAAAAACUCUCCCCCCGGGCCCCUCAUAAAAGGGGGUCUACAUGAUGUUUGACCAAACGAACCCAAAUUGUGCAUAAUGACUAAUUUGACUUUCCAACUCCUAUAAAAAUAAAAUAAAAAAAAAAAAAAAUCCUCCAAAUUUCAUUCUUUUGUAAACUUAAUAUCGUAAUUUAAAAAAAAAAUAUAUUUGAACCUUGGGGAGUGUUUUAUAGUGUACAUUGUUUCAAAACUUGUAUAUCAUUAGUACACUAUUAAAUCUUAAUUUAUCUUGUAUUAUUUGAGCAUAAAUUUUAUAUUAGGGUUUUAUGAGAAUAUUUUCUAUCAUUUCCUAUAAAGAUUUUGAGAGGGAAAUUUAAGUGUCGAGGUAUCACUUAGGGAUUUUGGGUAUCACUUAAAGGAUUGUUUAAAACUAUGUAUAUUUUGAGGAUUGUAAAAGUUGUUUGGAACCAUUAGUUCAAGAGGGUUCAUUUGAACCAUAAUCAAAUUGUAAAAUUUAGAGGUUUAGGUUAUAAGCUUUGAAAUAGUGGAUCCUUAUUCGGUUAAGAGUUUGAGAAGAGUAGAUGUAAGUUAAGUUGUACUAAACCAACAUAAAAACGAGUAUUUACAUUUUCUUUUAUCCAUUCUCUUUAUUUUAUAUACGAUUACUUUUCAUUGUAUUUAUUUCAUAUUUGUAUAUAAUUAUCUUUUAUAUUCACAUAAUUUGAAUUUUAUCUAUAUAGUAAAGGAAAACAAAAAUAUAGAGAAUAGUAAUAAAGUAGAAAAAAAUCUUAAUAAUUAUGAAUAUUAUUAAUUUAAAAAAAUCUAAAUGUUUAAUAUUAUUACUAGACUUUUAUAUUGCUUAAUAAUCAUAACGCUAAUUCGACAUUAAAAGAUGAUAAUCAAAAUAAUUGUAAGUAUUUUUUAUUUUUUUUUAAAAAAAGAAAGAAAAAAGAUAAAAAUAGAGACAUGCAAACAAUAGGUUUGGCAAUUAAUUAUGUCCAUUUUUUCAUACUUCAAUAUACUAAUUCCAAAGUUUUCUUUAACUAAAGUCUUCAAUGCUUUACACUUGAUUCAAAUAUGUAAUAUCUUUACAAUUCCUUCAAGUGAUUUGUCAUGUUUGAAAAAAAGUUUUCAUAUUUUAUAAGUUCAAAACACUUAAAUGGUGAGGUUUUUUGUUUACAAAUUGAGACUUAGUACGAUGAAAAAAUACGAUUAGCAAAAGAAAGGAUGGUGCAAGAAAAGAGACCUUUGCAAGCUCUUUAAUUAGUUUGUAUGAUGAUUGUUGAAUGUUGGUGAAACCAUAAUUGUUCAAUUUAUUUAUUUUUUGUUUGUCAAGAAAAGAGACCUUUGCAAGCUCUUUAAUUAGUUUGUAUAAUGAUUGUUGAAUGUUGGUGAAACCAUAAUUGUUCAAUUUAUUUUUUUUUUGUUCGUUAGUUUUUGUUUUGAUUUUAGAUUUUUUCCCAUACUUGAAACUAGUCACGGGCCAUAGUUUCGAGUCAACUCAUUGACUAGAUGAUAAAUCAAAGAACUAGUGAUUUGGUUAAAAAUAUAUAUGGAGAUGACCAAUGGAUUGUGAAAAUCUUGAAUGAUAUUUGAUUAGUUGAGGUAAAACCUUAACCACUUCAAUACAACACCGAGGGUUACUGUUUGAAAAGUUUGCACAACACAACUCAACUCAACUAAUUGAGAUGAAACUCGAUUAGUUGAGCUUUGCCCUUACAAAAAUACUAAAUCGAUUGAUCGUUACUUUUUACACUUUUUUAAUUUUGAAAAUUUUCAACUUUUAAGCUCAAAAACACUUAGGGAACAAUCAAUAUAUAUUCCUAUAAAUUUAAAGAAAUCCAUUUAAAGAUAAAACAAUGAACCAAUAUUGGUAUUUUGUCAUCAAGUUUUUUUAAGUGUUUGAGUCAAUUUAAAAACCAAUUAGAUAAUGUUUUCCCGCAAUUAUACCCCACUCAUCAUCCAAUUAUCCAAAAUCUCCUAAAUCAAAUCAUCUUCAACCUUGGUGGAUUCUCCAUGGAGCACAAUCAUAAUUUCUUUCUUCCAUUGUUAGAAGAUUACCAUAUAUUUAAAUACCAUAUAAAGUUUUUAAAGUAUUUUCUAUCUUUUCAAUUAUUGUUAGAAGAUUCUAUUCAAACAACUUAAAAUACCUCAAAAUUGUUCUAAAAUAACCUAUUUUUAGAAUAAAUUAUGAAAAAUUAUAGAAAAACUAUUUUCUGUCCAAAAUUCACCAAAUGGAUGCACUAUGGGAACGCAAGUACUUUGGAAGACCAUUUCAUGGGCCUCUCUCCCCGCUUGAUCCAGUUAUAUUGCAAAAUAUGGGCUAACUUCAACGGGACCAAAAUACUAACAGUUACGAUGUUCAAAAUGGCCCAAAAUUUUCAGGCCCAUUUCUUUCAGCCCACAAAGUUGCUGAGACAGAGGUAUCAUAUACUUGAUAUAGUUUCAGGCUUUCACCAUCAUCCUUAGCUCAGAUUAGCACGAAGCCACGAGCCCUUCCCUCGGCUGCUCACACGCACUCUCUCUGUCAAUAUACGUUUCCUUCUCUCUCGGUCUCAAGCAAUGUCUUAUGUGCCACCGCACCUGAGGAACCCUUCUUCUUCUAUCUCUCGAACCUCCAAACCUACCGAAACCUCCGCGGUAACCCUAGACGACACUCAUCGCACCACCAACAACCUUUCCUAUUCCUCCACAAACUCUCAUCUCUCUCAUUCCAACGCCUCUUCCUCUCCUUCUCUCUCUCGUUGGGCCUCCUCCAAUGCCGCCGCCGUGCCUCGGACUCCCUCCGUUCCGGAGCCCGUUUUCCCUCAGUGGAAGCCUUCCGACCGUGUUUUCCUUAUGAAACCUGAACAGGUUUGAUGUUUAUGGUUCUCUGAUUGAUUUUUUUUUUUGGCUAUGGUGGUUUGAGUGGGUUGUUGCUUGAAUUAAUUUCACUACUAUGCUAAUUUUGGCGUUCUUUUUGGAGUUGUUGUUGUGUUGUUUUGUGGCCCUGUUUGGUUGCUGAGAUAAUUAUGAAUGAGAAGGGGAAAAGUCAACGUUUCUUUUAUUGUUGUUUAGUUGGAAGAAAAAAGAGAGCUUAAGUUACAUCAGUCAAAAAAUAGUCUUAGAAAACUUAAGUGAGAUGAUUAUUCUGUUUUUGGAGGAGCCGAAGCAGUGGAUAGUGUAAGAUUCAAUUAUCCUUUGGAAAAUUAUAUGAUUCUGAUUCUGUAAUAUAUAAAGAAUGUGACUUAAGAAAAUGUCACUGAAUAUGACCAAGGUUCAAAAAAUGUGGCAUAAUUAAGGAAAAAUGUGACUUGGGCAGUGAGAGAGCUCAAAGAGGUAUGACACCACCAAAAAUUUGAUACUUUUUGUUCUCAUGGUCUGCUCGUUGUCCUCUCCUUCAGUUUUCUGCCUGAUUCUCAACAACCAACCGGAGUAUCAUUUUUUGUUAAUUUUAGUCAUUGCGUUAUAUUUGGACUUGAAGGCAAUAGUUAGUUUAUGGUUCAAUGUUUCAUUUGUGCUCUAAAACGUAUUUUCUGCCUGAGAUUCUUUUGGUUGAAUUAUAAUCAUUUUUGUAUUCUGAAAUUGGAGAAAUUGGAAUAUUGGCAUAUUCAUCAAAGCGAUCAUUUGAAAUAUUGAAUUUGAAUUAAUGUUUUUGUUAUCUUGGCAUGAUGCAUUUACAUACAGAUUGAAGAGGUCCGAUUGCGGCUUAAUGUUGAUGUUACUGUUGCUCCAGACUUGCCUCCUGCACCUGCACCAAUUGAAUCAUUCACAGACAUGGUAAAUUUGUGCAUUUAUGUGUCUUGGUGAUAUGAUCAAAGCUACUUUAAUGAGGCAGCAAUAAAAUCUCAAGUUAAGAAAAUAUGGUUUUUUAUUUUUUCAGGGUCUGCACCAAAGCAUCAUGAAGGAUAUUACCUUUCAUGAAUAUACUAGGCCCACCUUUAUUCAAGCUCAGGCCAUGCCAGUUGCUCUCAGCGGAAGGGAUCUCCUGGGAUGUGCUGAAACUGGUAGUGGAAAGACUGCUGCUUUUGCUAUUCCUAUGAUUCAGGUCUUUAUUUCAUGAUUUUAAUGGACUAUUAUGAACUUUAUAUUUUCUUUUGAGUUUUAGUGUUUGCUUGGAAAUUGAACAAUUGGAUAUAUAUCUGGCUAAUUGAUGGUUUUCUGCCUUACUUUUCUAUCUUCCAUUUCCAAUUUUGCAGCAUUGCUUGGCUCAACCUCCUGUUCGGCGAGGUGAUGGACCAUUGGCAUUGGUCUUGGCUCCCACAAGAGAGCUUGCCCAACAAAUAGAAAAGGAGGUGCCAACUAUUUUUUGUGAAUAGAAGAUGAAUGCUGUUGUUAGGAUUAUCUAAGUUUCAAACUGUUGGCAGUAAUAGUUCAUGUUUUUUCUUCUAAACCACAUUAUAACGAUGCUGCAAGUGUUUGUCAAAAUUGAAUUCACAUUUGGUUCUUAAUUAUGUUUGUUAGUUUUAAUCUAGAGCGGACUUCAUGUUGCCAACCCAAUUAGAUGAACAAAGACAUUUUGGCGUGUUGAAUUGUUAUAUGUUUAUUAUUCUCGCCAUUUUGUUCUUUGUUUUUGCUGAACGGAUACACAAAAGCACUCUCUCACAUUCUUCAUUAUAUUCUUUGAUCUCGAUUACUUUUUUAUUAGAUAUGAAAGUUAUAUUAAACUGGCAUGCAUUCGUUGGAUUUUGUUUACUUCUGAAUAUGAAUAUUUAUGCAUAAAUAGGACCCAAUAACAUUUUCUCCAAAUUCUUUAGAACCUUAAAGCAAACUAGGAUUAUUUCCUUUAUUAGUUUCUUUGGUCAAUUUGGAAAUGGAAUUAAUAUGUCUGAACCAUGAAAGCUGAUAAUUCUUGAGUAUGCCAGGCUUAUCUAAGAAGGGUUAGCUUGGUGAAUGAUGAGAUCAUUCUUUUAUUGCAUGUGGUCUAGCACAUCAUAUCAUUUUAAGUAUUGUUUUUCAAACUUGGUUUUUAUUUUAUUUUAUUUUAUUUGAAGGGUGAGCACAUUUUUCCUUCUCUUUUGGGUUUUAUUCUCUACAUUUGUGGGAAUGAAUAAGAACCAAUAUUAUCAUUUAUUUAGGAUUUAUGAGAUGAAUAAUUUAGCGAGAUUUUUUUCUCCUUGAAUUAUGAGUUGUAUCUUUUGAUUUACAUUUAAUAUCUGAUCUAUUUUGAGAUCAUCUUUCGUUCUCAAAUUACCAUGUUGAGCAAUCUGAUGUCUCCUGUCCAGGUUAAGGCUUUUAGUAGAUCACUUGAUUCCUUUAGAACUGCGAUAGUUGUGGGUGGAACAAACAUUUCCGAGCAGGUGACCAAUUUUGUCUUGAUAAUUUCAUUUCAUAAUGGUUUUUGAAAAUUGAAAUCGUUGUCCUAGUUUCUCCUUAUUCAUUUCUGAGCAGGACUGCAGGAGAACAAAAGGAAAAAUUUAUGUCCUGUCUCUUCUUAUUGCUGUUUACAUUUCAUUUCCUUGGUGCAGGAAAAAAUGGUUUCCAAUCCUAUCUUAUAUACGCAUAUAUGUUUUGUUGGUUUCUUUUGUUGCUUGACACCAAACAG